RNAcentral lists this non-coding RNA (323 nucleotides) under Streptomyces afghaniensis 772. RNAcentral describes it as "Bacterial large subunit ribosomal RNA". It matches the Rfam family "Bacterial large subunit ribosomal RNA", at positions 810 to 1130 of the family's 2925-position model. Lineage: Bacteria; Bacillati; Actinomycetota; Actinomycetes; Kitasatosporales; Streptomycetaceae. The record is from Rfam by way of RNAcentral.
UGUGGUUAGGGGUGAAAGGCCAAUCAAACUCCGUGAUAGCUGGUUCUCCCCGAAACUGCAUUUAGGUGCAGCGUCGUGUGUUUCUUGCCGGAGGUAGAGCACUGGAUAGGCGAUGGGCCCUACCGGGUUACUGACCUUAGCCAAACUCCGAAUGCCGGUAAGUGAGAGCGCGGCAGUGAGACUGUGGGGGAUAAGCUCCAUGGUCGAGAGGGAAACAGCCCAGAGCAUCGACUAAGGCCCCUAAGCGUACGCUAAGUGGGAAAGGAUGUGGAGUCGCACAGACAACCAGGAGGUUGGCUUAGAAGCAGCCACCCUUGAAAGAG